UUUUUUGUCUUUUUGCCAUUUACUGUUACUAUUGCUUGUUCUGUUCAUUUUUGCAGAUGUCAGGCGGCGCGAUAGUAGCGUGCAGCGACGCGAAGGGCAUACGAGGCGACCACGUGUGGUGCCGGGACUGGGGCAGAGGCGCAUGCGGUGCCCUAGGGCUUCCCUCUUUUCUGAAAAACUUUUGUUUGUGGGCUAGGGUUUUUUUAAUUUUCUUUUGGGCCUAUUGGGUUUAGGCUUGUAGUUCUGAUUGGACUGUAAUUUUUUACUUAUUUUUG
Molecule: long non-coding RNA, 275 nt
Filed under: Gossypium raimondii (Peruvian cotton)
Lineage: Eukaryota; Viridiplantae; Streptophyta; Magnoliopsida; Malvales; Malvaceae
Description: long non-coding RNA (GRAI_LNC003065)
Source: RNAcentral